Molecule: long non-coding RNA, 784 nt
Filed under: Marmota monax (woodchuck)
Lineage: Eukaryota; Metazoa; Chordata; Mammalia; Rodentia; Sciuridae
Source: RNAcentral
UCAACAUUUCCCAGAUUUUGCAAUAUUAAACGGGGAGCGUUUGUGCCAAAUUUUAAGACAAGAAUUCUUCCUGCCAAAUUACAAAUUUCUCAAAAUGAGGGGUGUUCAACCAAAUUGCUGCCAGACCCCAUAAACAGGCACUAACAGCGCUGCUAUAAUUACACCUUAUUAUCUCCCUCACAGCCUUAUUUGAUUCACUGCCGGAUAAAAUCCUCGUCCCGGGUGUCACUAGCUGGCCUGUUUCUGAGGCUGAACAAUCACAUACUUCCCCUGCCUCAGUUAGUCCAACGAACUGUAUAAACUGCUGCCUUCCAUUCCAUUCUUUAGUUGAGCUCUUUCUGUAAAGCAACCCAAUCAGAUAGGUUAUUUUCACCCCCAGCUUCCCUAGGGACUGAAAAAUGAAGAUGAAAACAAACUUAUCAGAAUUGCAAGGAAAUUUUCUUCUUUGAAGAAAAAGAUUUAGGCAGAGAAACCAAAUUUGUUGUUUAACGGGAGCCCCUUAAGGGGAUUUAGCAUAGUGGGCUUGAAUGCAGUUAAACCAGCUUAAUCACUUUCUUUGUUCUGGCUCUUUGCAUUUAUUUAAUGUAUUUUAAGGAGAUUUGGCACAAACUAAACUAAUUUCUUCUAUGUUAGUGUAGUCUAUAUGUGAACCAUAAUAUUCGAACCAAUGUGAACCAAACAAAUUUCUAUGGAAUCCUUGACACUUUGAAGAAUUCUUUGCUAAACCGUUAUAUGUCCAAGAAUUUAAAAAUGGGAAUUUUGGGGCAAUUGGGUAGGGAAGGAC